This 208-nucleotide ribosomal RNA is filed under the name uncultured bacterium. RNAcentral's name for it is "partial 16S ribosomal RNA". It matches the Rfam family "Bacterial small subunit ribosomal RNA", at positions 568 to 775 of the family's 1533-position model. The record is from RNAcentral.
CGCGUAGGCGGUAUGCCAAGUCAGAUGUGAAAGCCCCGGGCUUAACCUGGGAACUGCAUCUGAAACUGGCAUGCUUGAGUUCUGGAUGGGGUAGUGGAAUUCCCAGUGUAGCGGUGAAAUGCGUAGAUAUUGGGAGGAACACCUGCGGCGAAGGCGGCUACCUGGACAGAUACUGACGCUGAGGCGCGAAAGCCAGGGGAGCGAACGG